CAGGAAGUAGUUUAACGAGAAUAUUAAUUUUGGAGAUUAAUGAUGGGAUUGCAUCUCUUUUCUGA
Molecule: transfer RNA, 65 nt
Filed under: Prosopocoilus astacoides blanchardi
Lineage: Eukaryota; Metazoa; Arthropoda; Insecta; Coleoptera; Lucanidae
Also listed under: 1 other name
Description: tRNA-Pro
Source: RNAcentral